Molecule: ribosomal RNA, 127 nt
Filed under: Zingiber officinale
Lineage: Eukaryota; Viridiplantae; Streptophyta; Magnoliopsida; Zingiberales; Zingiberaceae
Source: RNAcentral
CUAUCCAUAUCACCAAGGUGCACCUUUCUUUUCGGAAGCCCAAACGUUAGAACUCCGAAGUUAAGCGUACUUAGGCGAGAGCAGUACUAGGAUGGGUGACCCCCCGGGAAGUCCUCGUGUUGCACCU